This 823-nucleotide ribosomal RNA is filed under the name uncultured bacterium. RNAcentral describes it as "bacterial SSU rRNA". It matches the Rfam family "Bacterial small subunit ribosomal RNA", at positions 62 to 885 of the family's 1533-position model. The record is from RNAcentral.
UCGACGAACACUUUGAUCGAUUUCUUCGGAUUGAAAUUUUAGUGACUGAGUGGCGGACGGGUGAGUAACGCGUGGGCAACCUGCCUCACACAGGGGGAUAACAGUUGGAAACGGCUGCUAAUACCGCAUAAGCGCACAGUACCGCAUGGUACAGUGUGAAAAACUCCGGUGGUGUGAGAUGGACCCGCGUCUGAUUAGCUAGUUGGCAGGGCAACGGCCUACCAAGGCGACGAUCAGUAGCCGACCUGAGAGGGUGACCGGCCACAUUGGGACUGAGACACGGCCCAAACUCCUACGGGAGGCAGCAGUGGGGAAUAUUGCACAAUGGGGGAAACCCUGAUGCAGCGACGCCGCGUGAGCGAAGAAGUAUUUCGGUAUGUAAAGCUCUAUCAGCAGGGAAGAAGAAAUGACGGUACCUGACUAAGAAGCACCGGCUAAAUACGUGCCAGCAGCCGCGGUAAUACGUAUGGUGCAAGCGUUAUCCGGAUUUACUGGGUGUAAAGGGAGCGCAGGCGGAAGGCUAAGUCUGAUGUGAAAGCCCGGGGCUCAACCCCGGUACUGCAUUGGAAACUGGUCAUCUAGAGUGUCGGAGGGGUAAGUGGAAUUCCUAGUGUAGCGGUGAAAUGCGUAGAUAUUAGGAGGAACACCAGUGGCGAAGGCGGCUUACUGGACGAUAACUGACGCUGAGGCUCGAAAGCGUGGGGAGCAAACAGGAUUAGAUACCCUGGUAGUCCACGCCGUANACGAUGAAUACUAGGUGUNGGAAAGCACAGCUUUUCGGUGCCGCCGCAAACGCAUUAAGUAUUCCACCUGGGGAGUACGU